RNAcentral lists this ribosomal RNA (317 nucleotides) under uncultured Lachnospiraceae bacterium. RNAcentral describes it as "partial 16S ribosomal RNA". Lineage: Bacteria; Bacillati; Bacillota; Clostridia; Lachnospirales; Lachnospiraceae. The record is from RNAcentral.
GGAGUUUGGGCCGUGUCUCAGUCCCAAUGUGGCCGUUCACCCUCUCCAGGCCGGCUACUGAUCGUCGCCUUGGUGGGCCGUUACCUCACCAACUAGCUAAUCAGACGCGAGUCCAUCUUAGGCCACCGGAGUUUUUCACACUGUGCCAUGCGGCACUGUGCGCUUAUGCGGUAUUAGCACCUAUUUCUAAGUGUUAUCCCCCAGUCUAAGGCAGGUUACUCACGCGUUACUCACCCGUCCGCCACUAAGUUAUCCAGAGCAAGCUCCGAAUAACUCCGUUCGACUUGCAUGUGUUAAGCGUGCCGCCAGCGUUCGUC